This 406-nucleotide ribosomal RNA is filed under the name uncultured bacterium. Its description in RNAcentral is "partial 16S ribosomal RNA". It matches the Rfam family "Bacterial small subunit ribosomal RNA", at positions 30 to 526 of the family's 1533-position model. The record is from RNAcentral.
AUUGAACGCUGGCGGCAGGCCUAACACAUGCAAGUCGAACGCGUGGCGGACGGGUGAGUAAUGUCUGGGAAACUGCCUGAUGGAGGGGGAUAAAUACGGAAAACGGGAGCUAAUACCGCAUACCAGCAGCUGUGCCCAGACGGGAUUAGCUAGUUGGGGGGGUAACGGCUCACCAAGGCGACGAUCCCUAGCGGGUCUGAGAGGAUGACCAUCCGACCUGGAACUGAUGCACGGUCCAGCCUCUUACGGUAGUCAGCAGUGGGGAAUAUUGCACAAUGGGCGCAAUCCUGCUGCCGCCAUGCCGCGUGUAUGCAGAAGGCCUUCGGGUUUUAAGGUACUUUCAGCGGGUAGGCGUUACCCGCAGAAGAAGCACCGGCUAACUCCGUGCCAGCAGCCGCGGUAAUUC